RNAcentral lists this small nucleolar RNA (106 nucleotides) under Olea europaea subsp. europaea. RNAcentral describes it as "Plant small nucleolar RNA R71". It matches the Rfam family "Plant small nucleolar RNA R71". From Rfam's summary of the family: R71 is a member of the C/D box family of snoRNAs containing the C (UGAUGA) and D (CUGA) box motifs. Multiple nearly identical copies of this snoRNA have been identified in Arabidopsis, and it is thought to function as a 2'-O-ribose methylation guide for 18S ribosomal RNA. The record is from Rfam by way of RNAcentral. Lineage: Eukaryota; Viridiplantae; Streptophyta; Magnoliopsida; Lamiales; Oleaceae.
AAUCCAUGUUGUGGGCAUUAGCGAAGUAAACCCUUGUAUCGUUCCCAAACUCUAAAUAGCAUUCUGAGUCCAUUUGCUGAAAAGUAGUGAUCUCAUCCCUUAGCUU